AAGUGGCAUCUGUCCUUUGCUUAGAAAAGAGCAUGAUUACAGAGCAGAUUAGCAUGGCUCCUGUCAAGGAUGACACAAAAAUUAGUGAAGCAUUCCAUAUUUUU
This 104-nucleotide small nuclear RNA is filed under the name Castor canadensis (American beaver). Lineage: Eukaryota; Metazoa; Chordata; Mammalia; Rodentia; Castoridae. The record is from RNAcentral.